Alnus glutinosa is the source of this 344-nucleotide long non-coding RNA. RefSeq lists it as uncharacterized. Lineage: Eukaryota; Viridiplantae; Streptophyta; Magnoliopsida; Fagales; Betulaceae. The record is from RefSeq and is a predicted model, not a curated record. The transcript has 2 exons.
UGAGCUUAGAGUCGUUUGGAUAUUGGGAGUACAAGCAAUCUGAGAUGAUGUUUCUUUGGCUGCAGGUACUUCGGUAUAGUCGAUGGGUCGGUAGCAGUGUGCUUGGGAUAUUAUGACUGAAGCUCGCCGCGACAGUUGUAAUUGUCGGACCACGGGUUGUCCACUAUUUUAUAGGUUUGGUAUGGCUUGUGACGUUUGUGUCACUUAUUCUUUGUUAAGCCAUUAUUGUUAUAGUGUUAAUAAGGCUCAAACAGAUAGAUGUUAAAUGGCUCUUCGUUGUAAUUAACUUGUGAUAGAUGUAUAAGUUGUAAUUUCCGCUAUUCAGAUUUAUGUUUUCCGCUGCA